UCUUUGUUGGCUGUGGGAUCUUCUGGAAACAAAGCACAGAGCAAGGCUGAAGGAGCAAGACCUCCACAGUGCAGCUAAACAGCCAAAUGAGUCUCCCGCAAGUCAGGAAAACUGGAUAAAAAGAGGCCUAAAUGUGAGCAAGAGCUAUCAUGUUUGGCUUCAAUGUCUACUAUGUGCCGAGGAUAUAGAGGAACAAAACAGACCCGUCUCAUUCUCGUGGUGGAGUUGGGAUGAUGGAGCUAAUACAAUGACCCCUACCUUCAAAAACUCAGUGCUGCUCCCCUGGAUAGAGAUCCGCUACAUCCUACCUUCUCUGUGACGACUUUGAAAAGUGUCCAUGAAUUCUUUGACACUCUUUUCAAAAGGUGGAGCCUAAUUUCCCGUCCCUUAAGUGUGGACUGAUGAUUUGCUUCUAAAGAACAGAAUAAGGUGGAAUGGAUGGUAGGUGACUUCUAAGGCUAGGUCCUAAAAAGCACUGUGUGCUUUGUUCUCUCUUGGGUCUCUCAGUCUGGGAGAAACCAGCUACCCUGUUGUAAGGACAGUCAAGCAGCCCUGUGGAGAGUCCAUGUGGCAAGGAACUGAGGCUUCCUGUGAAAAUCCAGGAAGGAACUGAAGCCUUCUGCCAACAGCCAUGUGAACGAGCCAUCUUGGAGGCAGAUCCUGCAGCCUGGCUAAUGUCUUGAUGGCAACUUAACAAGAUACCUUAAGCCAGAACCAUCUAGCUAAUACACUCUUGAAUUCCUAUUACAAACACUGGGAAAUAAUCAAUGUUUGUUGUUUUAAGCUGCUAAACUUUGAUAUUAUUUAUUUUAUUCAUUUAUUUUUUG
This 827-nucleotide long non-coding RNA is filed under the name Homo sapiens (human). RNAcentral's name for it is "HSALNT0352922". The record is from RNAcentral. Lineage: Eukaryota; Metazoa; Chordata; Mammalia; Primates; Hominidae.